ACGUUCGUCUUAGUCGGAAAAAUAAUAAUGAAUAAUAAUUGUUUAUCCGUUUUUUAACAGGGUCUUUUAACAGUACCGAAUGAGAUCGUUACGGCAAACUUCUGAAAUUGACUCGAAAAAAAGAAACAAGCACAUAUAGUCUGGUAUAGUCAAAUACUCUCUAAGUUAACCAGUGCCAUUUUUCAUUUCUUUUUUCUUAUUUUCAAUAAUUCGGCGUAUGUGGGACAGAGGACAAACACAGACUUUCAACACAAAAGCGGCGUAAAAGGUUAUUUCAAACAAUUGUCAAUUCGACGGAUGGUGUUUCUGAAGGUUUAUAUUGUGCGGGAACAUCAUAAAGAUCUGAAAUUGAUACAUGCUUAAUCUCUAGUAUUACCGGACAAUAAAGUAGGUGAAUACUGUUGUUACUCUUGGAAAUUUAAAUGUUGGUUUCAAACGUCCAAUUUGCGAUAUCUUUUUUCAAAUAGUGCGCCAGCAAGGAAAAUUUGUACUAUGACGUCAGAUGCAAUGUUCUGAAGAAAGACAACUCUUUUCUUCAAAACGAACGAGAAAAAAAACAUAAAAAAUACUCAGAACUUUUUUGAAAGAGGACAGCUUUAUUCAUAUUUUACAUACUCAUGCAAAGAAAAGAGUGGAAAAGAAAUUGGCCAGUUUUGCUGAAAGUGCAGCUCUUAGUACAAUAAAGAAUGCUGUGAAAGGAUUUGAAGAUUCCAACAUUGUUAAUGUAUAUUAUGCUGGUUAUGUUCGAAUGAUGGAACUUAGAGAUCAUUAUACAGUGUGGAACAAAUUAAACUACAUCUAGAUCUUCUGGAAAGUCUGAGAAACUAGUGGAAUAUUCAGAAGAAAUUGAACUAAUAUCUAGAUCUACUCGAAAGUCUGAGAAACUAGUGGAAUACUCAGAAGAAAUUGAACUAAUAUCUAGAUCUACUGGAUGGUGUUUUAUUAAAUGGUGCUUAUUUGUUACAUUGUCUAAUUAUUUGUUGAAUAUUGCAAGGAAUCAGAAGAUGAGAGGUGGAAACCUAGUGUUUAUCUGGUUCUAAUCUGAUUUAUGACAAGAAAGCCUAGAGCUAAUUUUCUUGGAAGAAAAUUGUUGAAAAGAAUGUUGUUAUGUCAAAUAAAAAUGCUUUUUCUUA
Molecule: long non-coding RNA, 1133 nt
Organism: Mytilus trossulus (common blue mussel)
Lineage: Eukaryota; Metazoa; Mollusca; Bivalvia; Mytilida; Mytilidae
Exons: 3
Source: RefSeq, a predicted model, not a curated record